GUACCAUUUGGAUCUAUGCAAAAAUGUGUUUUUGAGAGGGUGUAUAUCCGGUUGUUGAUGCUACAAAUCUGUACUAUGGGGGCACAGACAUUGCUGGAUCAAAAAUGGUAUUUACAAAUGGAUCACAAGAUCCAUGGCGACAUGCAUCCAAGCAGGUGUCGUCUCCAAGUUUGCCAUCAUAUCUAAUCACUUGUGAUAAUUACGGUCACGGAACUGAUCUAAGAGGAUGCCCACAGUCUCCUUUAGUUCCUGAAGGUUGGCAGUGGGUUUGGGGAGAGCACACUGAAACUAGGAUCCAUCCAUGCUAACAGAAGGGCAACUAGGCAGGUUCGGUGACAUUUUACCUGCUCAAACAGCCGGUCUUCUUUCUCAAUUUACAAUCGCAAGAUCAGAUUAUUGAUUUCACUCAUCCCACCUUAUAAACGCACCAUUUAUCCCAACUAUAUGAUCUGAUGUCGAGAAAUGGAUACUUGGAUGCCAAGUUGAGGAAUGGGUCGGGCCCCAUUAAGCCCGUGUGCCCAUAAGCGUGCAAAUUUUCAGGUAAAGAACAAUAGAACAUAUAAAGUUUGUGAAUGUACAUUUUCGGAGCAUUAUGUGUAUAGGAGGCAAUAGAACAUAUAAAGUUUGUGAAUGUAAAUUUUGGGAGUAUUAUG
Helianthus annuus (common sunflower) is the source of this 653-nucleotide long non-coding RNA. RefSeq lists it as uncharacterized. NCBI's taxonomy places the organism in Eukaryota, Viridiplantae, Streptophyta, Magnoliopsida, Asterales, Asteraceae. The transcript is spliced from 4 exons. The record is from RefSeq and is a predicted model, not a curated record.